CAUCAAAAUGCACAACCUCAGCCUUGUGCAUUCAGAAAAAUUAAAAUAAAAAAAAAAUGAUACAAAAACCACCACCCAUGGAUUUGGAAAAUAUAGUGGAGAUCAAUUCCAGACAUCAAUGACUGAGUUUACAGUUCGAAAUUUUCCUCCACGCCAUCCAGAACGAGUGAAACGAAUCUUAUGUUUAGUAGAGACUACAAUACCUGAGUGUGAUCCACAGACUUGUAGUGUCUGCACCCUCCGACCACUUGUUGAUGUGUUCGCUCUAAUCCAAACAACAUUCAACAAUUCUAUGUCGAGUAUAAAAAUGACGUCAGAGACUCCUUGCCCGCCACACUAUUGGAUGAAGUCCGUUCGAGUGGCAAUCAAGAUGUGCAAGUUCGUAUUACAAAUAAAUUGCGAGGAAAGCAUUUUGUUCCCCUCAACAGUUGU
Long non-coding RNA from Episyrphus balteatus (marmalade hoverfly), 432 nucleotides. RefSeq lists it as uncharacterized. The record is from RefSeq and is a predicted model, not a curated record. The transcript has 3 exons. Lineage: Eukaryota; Metazoa; Arthropoda; Insecta; Diptera; Syrphidae.